UUCUUCUGAAAGCUCCAACAGCCCUUUAAAAUGCUUUUUAAUAAAAUUAUUCACGUGGUCAAACCUGUCAGAUAGCAACUUGAUUUUGUUUUUCUAAAAAGCUCUUUCUCAUAAAUCCCACUAGCAUCCUGAUCUAUAGUUUUUGUUAUUAUUAUUUUCUGUUUUCACUAAGGAGGGGUUGGAGUAGAAAUACUUUUACUCUGUCGUGUUCAAACAUAAGAAAAUGAAGUAUUUUUUAAAGGCCUUCUACUGCUGAUCUCAUAGCAACAAAAUUUUGGAAACUAUAGGUUUAACCAUUGAAAGCAGUGUCAUUGUGAAAGACUUUGGGUACAGAUAAGAUAAGGAUCAGAAGCUGUGACAAUGACAGAAUUUAACCAAGGAAAGACUGCAAGGGGCAACACCUCUCUCUUGCUCAAGAAAUCAGAGAACUUUGAGGGAAAAAUUCAUAAGGAAAGAAAGGCAAAACUUGAUGAAAGGAUUAAGGAAAAGGAGUGAUUCUGAGUACUGUAAUAUUGCCUCUCCCUCUCAGAUUUUUCCUUGUUGUUUAUUUGUUUUUGUUUUGUUUUUCC
RNAcentral lists this long non-coding RNA (569 nucleotides) under Equus caballus (horse). RNAcentral describes it as "lncRNA (ENSECAG00000055371.1)". The record is from RNAcentral. Lineage: Eukaryota; Metazoa; Chordata; Mammalia; Perissodactyla; Equidae.